ACAGCAGUAGCCGCGGGAAUACGGAGGGUGCAAGCGUUAAUCGGAAUUACUGGGCGUAAAGCGCACGCAGGCGGUCUGACAAGUCAGAUGUGAAAUCCCCGGGCUUAACCUGGGAACUGCAUUUGAAACUGUCAGGCUGGAGUCUUGUAGAGGGGGGUAGAAUUCCAGGUGUAGCGGUGAAAUGCGUAGAGAUCUGGAGGAAUACCGGUGGCGAAGGCGGCCCCCUGGACAAAGACUGACGCUCAGGUGCGAAAGCGUGGGGAGCAAACAGGAUUAGAUACCCCUGUAGUCCCUGUCUCUUAUAU
Molecule: ribosomal RNA, 305 nt
Filed under: uncultured bacterium
Lineage: Bacteria
Description: partial 16S ribosomal RNA
Rfam family: Bacterial small subunit ribosomal RNA
Source: RNAcentral